Molecule: ribosomal RNA, 483 nt
Filed under: uncultured bacterium
Lineage: Bacteria
Description: partial 16S ribosomal RNA
Rfam family: Bacterial small subunit ribosomal RNA
Source: RNAcentral
AUUGAACGCUGGCGGCAGGCCUAACACAUGCAAGUCGAGCGGAUGAAGGGAGCUUGCUCCUGGAUUCAGCGGCGGACGGGUGAGUAAUGCCUAGGAAUCUGCCUGGUAGUGGGGGAUAACGUCCGGAAACGGGCGCUAAUACCGCAUACGUCCUGAGGGAGAAAGUGGGGGAUCUUCGGACCUCACGCUAUCAGAUGAGCCUAGGUCGGAUUAGCUAGUUGGUGGGGUAAAGGCCUACCAAGGCGACGAUCCGUAACUGGUCUGAGAGGAUGAUCAGUCACACGGGAAGUGAGACACGGUCCAGACUCCUACGGGAGGCAGGAGGGGGGAAUAUUGGAAAGUGGGCGAAAGCCUGAUCCAGCCAUGCCGCGUGUGUGAAGAAGGUCUUCGGAUUGUAAAGCACUUUAAGGUGGGAGGAAGGGCAGUAAGUUAAUACCUUGCUGUUUUGACGUUACCAACAGAAUAAGCACCGGCUAACUUCGU